This 253-nucleotide ribosomal RNA is filed under the name uncultured bacterium. RNAcentral's name for it is "partial 16S ribosomal RNA". It matches the Rfam family "Bacterial small subunit ribosomal RNA", at positions 524 to 776 of the family's 1533-position model. The record is from RNAcentral.
UACGAAGGGGGCUAGCGUUGCUCGGAAUUACUGGGCGUAAAGCGCACGUAGGCGGAUUGUUAAGUCGGGGGUGAAAUCCUGGAGCUCAACUCCAGAACUGCCUUCGAUACUGGCGAUCUCGAGUUCGGGAGAGGUGAGUGGAACUGCGAGUGUAGAGGUGAAAUUCGUAGAUAUUCGCAAGAACACCAGUGGCGAAGGCGGCUCACUGGCCCGAUACUGACGCUGAGGUGCGAAAGCGUGGGUAGCGAACAGG